RNAcentral lists this ribosomal RNA (626 nucleotides) under Phoma sp. 2 TMS-2011. RNAcentral describes it as "eukaryotic LSU rRNA". The stretch from base 260 to 413 matches the Rfam family "5.8S ribosomal RNA". Lineage: Eukaryota; Fungi; Ascomycota; Dothideomycetes; Pleosporales; Didymellaceae. The record is from RNAcentral.
UCUUGGUCAUUUAGAGGAAGUAAAAGUCGUAACAAGGUUUCCGUAGGUGAACCUGCGGAAGGAUCAUUACUGUUCGGCAGUUUACUGCUGUUUUUAAAGGGUGUGGAAACUUUUUGGGUUAUCCCAGAGAGGUGUACACGCCCUUUAUACACCCUUGACUUUUUGCGCACCCUUGUUUCCUCGGUAGGCUUGCCUGCCGGUUGGACAACUUAAUAACCUUUGAAAUUUUCAAUCAGCGUCUGUAAAACAUAAUAAUUACAACUUUCAACAACGGAUCUCUUGGUUCUGGCAUCGAUGAAGAACGCAGCGAAAUGCGAUAAGUAGUGUGAAUUGCAGAAUUCAGUGAAUCAUCGAAUCUUUGAACGCACAUUGCGCCCCUUGGUAUUCCAUGGGGCAUGCCUGUUCGAGCGUCAUUUGUACCCUCAAGCUCUGCUUGGUGUUGGGUGGUUGUCUCUGCUCUGCUUAGACUCGCCCUAAAUAUAUUGGCAGCCGGUAUAUUGCUUUGAAGCGCAGCACAAUUGCAAUUUGAGCCUAUAUUACUGGUAUCCAUUAAGCAAAUUAUCACUUUUGACCUCGGAUCAGGUAGGGAUACCCGCUGAACUUAAGCAUAUCAAUAAGCGGAGGAA